RNAcentral lists this ribosomal RNA (440 nucleotides) under uncultured bacterium. RNAcentral describes it as "partial 16S ribosomal RNA". It matches the Rfam family "Bacterial small subunit ribosomal RNA", at positions 338 to 795 of the family's 1533-position model. The record is from RNAcentral.
CCUACGGGAGGCAGCAGUGGGGAAUAUUGCACAAUGGGGGAAACCCUGAUGCAGCAAAGCCGCGUGAGUGAAGAAGGACUUCGGUAUGUAAAGCUCUAUUAGCAGGGAAGAAGAUGACGGUACCUGAGUACGAAGCGCCGGCUAACUACGUGCCAGCAGCCGCGGUCAUACGUAGGGCGCAAGCGUUAUCCGGAUUUACUGGGGGUAAAGGGAGCGUAGACGGUGAGACAAGUCUGAAGUGAAAGCGCAGGGCUCAACCCCGGGACUGCUUUGGAAACUGCCUGACUGGAGUGCUGGAGAGGCAAGCGGAAUUCCUGGUGUAGCGGUGAAAUGCGUAGAUAUUAGGAAGAACACCAGUGGCGAAGGCGGCUUGCUGGACAGUAACUGACGUUGAGGCUCGAAAGCGUGGGGAGCAAACAGGAUUAGAUACCCGAGUAGUC